Molecule: ribosomal RNA, 722 nt
Filed under: uncultured Fusobacterium sp.
Lineage: Bacteria; Fusobacteriati; Fusobacteriota; Fusobacteriia; Fusobacteriales; Fusobacteriaceae
Description: bacterial SSU rRNA
Rfam family: Bacterial small subunit ribosomal RNA
Source: RNAcentral
GAUGAACGCUGACAGAAUGCUUAACACAUGCAAGUCAACUUGAACUUCGGUUUGGGUGGCGGACGGGUGAGUAACGCGUAAAGAACUUGCCUCACAGUUAGGGACAACAUUUGGAAACGAAUGCUAAUACCUGAUAUUAUGAUUUUAGGGCAUCCUAGAAUUAUGAAAGCUAUAUGCGCUGUGAGAGAGCUUUGCGUCCCAUUAGCUAGUUGGAGAGGUAACGGCUCACCAAGGCGAUGAUGGGUAGCCGGCCUGAGAGGGUGAUCGGCCACAAGGGGACUGAGACACGGCCCUUACUCCUACGGGAGGCAGCAGUGGGGAAUAUUGGACAAUGGACCAAGAGUCUGAUCCAGCAAUUCUGUGUGCACGAUGAAGUUUUUCGGAAUGUAAAGUGCUUUCAGUUGGGAAGAAAAAAAUGACGGUACCAACAGAAGAAGUGACGGCUAAAUACGUGCCAGCAGCCGCGGUAAUACGUAUGUCACAAGCGUUAUCCGGAUUUAUUGGGCGUAAAGCGCGUCUAGGUGGUUAUGUAAGUCUGAUGUGAAAAUGCAGGGCUCAACUCUGUAUUGCGUUGGAAACUGUGUAACUAGAGUACUGGAGAGGUAAGCGGAACUACAAGUGUAGAGGUGAAAUUCGUAGAUAUUUGUAGGAAUGCCGAUGGGGAAGCCAGCUUACUGGACAGAUACUGACGCUAAAGCGCGAAAGCGUGGGUAGCAAACAGG